This 396-nucleotide ribosomal RNA is filed under the name uncultured bacterium. RNAcentral's name for it is "partial 16S ribosomal RNA". It matches the Rfam family "Bacterial small subunit ribosomal RNA", at positions 523 to 918 of the family's 1533-position model. The record is from RNAcentral.
AUACGAAGGGUGCAAGCGUUAAUCGGAAUUACUGGGCGUAAAGCGCGCGUAGGUGGUUUUGUAAGUUGGAGGUGAAAGCCCCGGGCUCAACCUGGGAAUUGCCUCCAAAACUGCAUGACUAGAGUACGGUAGAGGGUAGUGGAAUUUCCUGUGUAGCGGUGAAAUGCGUAGAUAUAGGAAGGAACACCAGUGGCGAAGGCGACUACCGGGACUGAUACUGACACUGAGGUGCGAAAGCGUGGGGAGCAAACAGGAUUAGAUACCCGGGUAGUCCACGCCGUAAACGAUGUCAACUAGCCGUUGGGAUCCUUGAGAUCUUAGUGGCGCAGCUAACGCAUUAAGUUGACCGCCUGGGGAGUACGGCCGCAAGGUUAAAACUCAAAUGAAUUGACGGGG